UGGUGCAAAUGCCUCUGUGUGCGGGUGA
This 28-nucleotide non-coding RNA is filed under the name Homo sapiens (human). The record is from RNAcentral. Lineage: Eukaryota; Metazoa; Chordata; Mammalia; Primates; Hominidae.